This 1611-nucleotide long non-coding RNA is filed under the name Anser brachyrhynchus (Pink-footed goose). RNAcentral's name for it is "lncRNA (ENSABRG00000017949.1)". Lineage: Eukaryota; Metazoa; Chordata; Aves; Anseriformes; Anatidae. The record is from RNAcentral.
AUGGAGCCGCCGCUGCCCCGCACUGCGCGCCCGCCCGCCGGCACCGGCACCGGCACCGCACCCCGAGGCGCACCGGGACCCGCACCCCCGACCCCCGAGGCGCAGCGGGAGCGGCACCGGGAGCGGCACCGGGAGCGGCGGCGGCGGGAGCCGGUACCGGUGCCGGCGGGGCAGCGCCGGCCCCCGCCCGCGCCCCGCCCCGGCGCGGCGGCGGGGGGCGGCGGGGAGCGGAGGCGAUGCGGGGCGGCGGCGGCCCGGGGGAUGCUCCCCGCCGCGGGCACGGUGAGUGCGGGCCGGGGCGGCGGGCGGCGGCAGCGGCCGUCCCAGCCCGCCGGCAGCCUACGGGGAACCGGGGCGGGUGGAUGGGGGGGAGGAAUAAGGGGGGUCCGCUCCGCCGCCCGCCCCACCGGCAAAACCCGCGGGGCGGCGAGGGGGGCCCGGACCACCCCCGUCACCCCGGGCAGGUCCCGGCCCGGCGGCUCCCGGGGCUGCCCGAGCCCGGUCCCGCGGGGGGAAGCGCUCCGGAGCCGCGGCGGGGAACGGGGCUGCCCCCGCUCGGGCCGGGGAGAGGCGGGGACCCCGCCGGGGGUGCCCGGGGACACGGGGCCGGGCUCGCCCGCCCCUUCUCGGGCUCACCCCUUCAGGCACGUCGGGGGGGGUCCCUGCCCCGGCUGCCCGGGGCCGGCCGGUGAGCGGGGCAGGCAGCUCCCGCCGAGCCGGUCCGCCCCUGGGGAGAGCCCCGGGACCGGGGCGCGGGGACCGGCGCUGCCCCCGGUGUCCCCGGGCGGCCGCGGCUGCUUCCACGCGGCGGCAGCUCCUCGUUCGUGGGCCCCACGUGUCCGGUACCGGCCUCCCCCGGCCCUGUGGGGCAGGUGCCAGCCCCGUGUCACCCGUGGGCUUCCUUUGCGACCCCUCGCAAGUCCUCCAGCGCGGUGGGACGCCGGCCCUCCGCCGGUUCCCGGUGCUCGCAGGUGCCCGGGGAGGUCUCCGGGCAUGGCCCCACGCCGCCAGCGAGGCCCGGCCUUAUCCCCGGCCUCAAAGAGGCCCCCCACCCCGGGAUGCUGGGACCCUCGUUCUGGGGAUGGGGCUCCCCAGCGGCCGCCACGCAGUGUAUGCAGGGUGCGCACCGGAGCCGUCCCCGCCCCGUUCCCCCCGUGCACCGGGACGGGCCCCAGGGGCACGGCGCUGCUCAGCCCCGGGGGGGGGGACGCGUGGGUUGUGGGGGGGCUGACCCGUGCGAGGGCAGCUCCUCGCGUGGACCGGCCCGAUCCCGACCUGGGAAGAGCUCAGGAGCCUGGUAGCGGCCGGCCGGGGCUCUCCGAGCCGGGGCAGGAGCAGAUCCCACCCGGACCCCCUCCAGGAGCCGGGGCUGCGGCUCUGGCAUCCCCGCGGGGCGCUCAGGACCGGGCCCGGCUGUUCCCCGUUCCCCCACCCCACGGGGGUGCGCAGCCAGCGCGGGGCCGCGCUGCCGGGGGGAGGCUUCCUUCGUCCUCCCGCUUCUCUCGGCGGAUCCCGGGGCCGUGCUGCCGCCGGCUGGGCGAAGCCCGCAGUGCAGCUCGGCCCCGCCGCCCGGCCGCCGGCUCCCGGGGCAGAUGCGCCCCGCCGGGGCCG